Long non-coding RNA from Aethalodelphis obliquidens (Pacific white-sided dolphin), 1383 nucleotides. RefSeq lists it as uncharacterized. Lineage: Eukaryota; Metazoa; Chordata; Mammalia; Artiodactyla; Delphinidae. The record is from RefSeq and is a predicted model, not a curated record. The transcript has 2 exons.
CUUCCCGGACCGGGGCACGAACCCGUGUCCCCUGCAUCGGCAGGCGGACUCUCAACCACUGCGCCACCAGGGAAGCCCCUCCAAACUCUUAAGCAGUCUUUUCUGAAAGGCUAUUUUUCCCCAUAUGUACCACCUUAUGCCACUUGGAGGUAUUUAAUUUUUGUGGUCACAAUUACUGAAUUGUCUCAUUUUGUGGAAUAAUUCUCCCAAAUAUUCAUCCCCCAAAAUGUUUAUUGAGUGCUUCCCACAUCUUAGGCAUGAAUCCUGGGUGUAAGCAGUGAGUGAGCAGUGAGCCCUGCUCACUUGUUGAAGGUGCAAAGUGCUGUGGAAAAGGAACACAUAGAUGAGGUAAGGCAGCUGAGGCGUGCUGCAGAGGUCACACGUUACCUUCUUUAUAAUUUUACUUUUUCUCUUUAUGUACUUAUUACAGGAAAUGGGGGAAGUGAUUCCCAUAAGUCUUACGAUUCCUAUAAGACUUGAUCAGACAGAAACAUCCGUGACAGAGGUUCUUGUUUCCAGGUUCUUACUUCAUUAAAUAAUCCUGACCCCCUUCUCACGAUUAAGGUCCUAGAUGUGGAUCAGAUUAAAUUCAAAGCCUUGUAGGUGACAAGUGAAAAUCCAAGCAGAAUUUGCUGGGCAAAAAAGUGAUGUUUAUUCAUUUAUUUUAAUGAUAAAAGUUAAUUUUAUCAAGCUUUAACAAAAUUCCUUUAUAGUGAAUAGUCAUGUCAGGUUGUCUGGGAAUAGGUUUCAUUCUGCUUCUGUCCUCCAGAGUGGGAACUGCUGAGCUGGGAAAACAACACUUUGUGGAGUUUGUCUGUAAGUGGUAGGUUCCUUUGAACUCCAUUGACCAUUAUUUCUGUCUUUUAGUUUAGCUACUUAGAGAAGCUUCUGUUGGUUCAUGGAACUUGGCAUUAUUUUCGAGUGACCAAAUGCAUAUUGUAUCGUUUGUACAAGAAUGUUGUGUUAUACAUCAUUGAGGUGGGUAUGCAUUUUCUCAAGUAGAACAUGCUGUGAUUUCUCAGGAAGAACUAGUCCGUUCUUAUGACGCUACCAAAAGCAAACCCCGGAGGACUUUUACUCCUGCCUUUUCCACGUCCAUCACCGAGUAAGAUCUGGGUCCCCGGGUCCCGCACUUAUAGGUCCUUCCCUGAGGUGGCUACAAUGAGCCAGUACUCCUCAACGCCCCUUUCUGUGACUGGCCAGUUUGUUAUUUAUGUAUCGACUGAGUCACGAUCCUUGGGUAUAAAUAAUGGAGGAAACCUAUUGGCUUUUUCUUAAUUUACUUUCAGUGUUUUACCUAAUUUAUUUAUUUUUCUGUGGCUGUGAGAUAAUUUGUCAGUUCAAUGUAAAGUAUAAAAUUAAAAGCACUAUGUUUUACCAAAA